CUAGAAGCCACAAGGUUGCCAACGUAUAACUACAGCGAGACUCCGAAUGUAUGUCCCUAGUUCGUCUGUAUGAAUGUCUCCCAAGUUGGUUGCCUGUUCUCCACUGAACCAGGACUCUUCUUCCGGCCCAUGUGAUGACAUCUAUACACUGGCCUUGGUCCUGGAAGACGUGCCUGUCUAUUGGCUGGGAAAGCCUAGAAGCAAGGAUUUCUAACGGCAAGACAGUAUUCAGGAAUGCUUGUUACAGCCAGCACAAUCUGGAUGUCAAAGGAGAUACGCUUAACUUUCCCAGAAGCAACUGCAGCCAAGUUCUGUGUUGUCUUGGAACAACCUUCAGGAAG
Molecule: long non-coding RNA, 341 nt
Filed under: Rattus norvegicus (Norway rat)
Lineage: Eukaryota; Metazoa; Chordata; Mammalia; Rodentia; Muridae
Description: long non-coding RNA NONRATT033008
Source: RNAcentral